Molecule: long non-coding RNA, 3444 nt
Organism: Coturnix japonica (Japanese quail)
Lineage: Eukaryota; Metazoa; Chordata; Aves; Galliformes; Phasianidae
Source: Ensembl
AUGUGCACAGUUUCAGUUGUGAUUUGCACAUUCAUUUUUUUUUCCCAUCUGAAUGUAGUCCUGAAAGCACUACCAAACAUAUAUUUCAGUUCUCUGAUUCAACUGCUGGGGUGUAUAAACACCCAGAAUGCGAACAUGCUGGUGAGUCUGGAAAAAUUUCUAAGCCUUCAUUUCCCCGCUUUCCAAGACAGAAAUUGGUAAGAGAUAGUUUAAAGCAAUAUUAGGAAGACUGCAAUAUGGGGCUGUGCUUUGGCAGUAGGCCUGAUUUCAUGGACUAUACAUCAAGAAUGCCUCAUCCACAUACUGCAGAAUGCUGACACAGUAUGAGCUCACACUAGCACUUCAAAUCUGUUCCAAAAUUUUGAGAGGUUGCUAUUUCAACUGCUUGCCUUGCAGUCACAUCAAGUUGUUAUCUGUCCUGCUGCAAGCACAAACUCCAUGUGCUCUGGCCAAUCUAGUGAAAAUGUGAUCUUGGUCCCAUUCCUGAGCUAAAUUACAUUAGUGUUGCUGAAUCAAAUUUGUCACGCUGUAUAGUACCGUUGCAAGUGUUCCUCUCCCUUCUCCCAGAUAAACAAAAAAGUGCAAGGCUGGAGAUAUUUUUCCUUAGUACUUUUUCAAAAAUGGCUGAACUGUUUUGGCUGAACCGCUCACAUAAAUUCAGUUACAUGAAACAUAGAAAAGUUCACCAAUGUUACAUGUAUAGCUUGAAAUGUGACAGGUGAUUCUAACAGCUCCAUGUCUCACAUAACUCAGUCUGACAGAAUAUAUAUAUUUUACAGGUAUCCAUGAUUAGCAGGUAGGUGACAAGGCACUUGCUCUAAAAUUCGGUGUUGAGUAAAUUGUGUCAUAUAUGUAACCUUAAUUUCUACAAAUUAAGUGUGACUAUUUGGUGGAAGAAACUAAUCUGUUUCUCUAGGCUUUUAGACACUUUUUUGGUCUUCACUGAAGAAAUCAUAUACUUAAGAUGCAUACCAUACAAUAACUGGAGCACAGUGCUAUAGCCAGCCUCCUGGCAACCUCUGAGAAACAAGCUGUCCCUCUGCCUACUCAGUAGGGUAAUGCAGAAAAUGUUGCCAGAAUGCAGGUGCCUACCUCAAAUCAUUGCUAGAGGCACUUCAGCAGUAAGCCCUAUUUGUGCAGUAAAAAAAUGUGAGGAAAAUGUUGGUGAACUUUAAAGGCAAGAAGCACUGACUCCCCUAGGAAAAGCAGAAAGAUCAGGGAAGAUAAUCAGAAUCUCAGAGCUUCAGGAGGACAAACAGGUGUUGUCUCAGCUAUGUUGCCUCCCACUUUGCAUUGUAGUGUGAAGGAUACAUUUUCUUUGACAUUCAGGACUUCUGCUUCAGGAUUUUUUAUUUUUCUAUUAAUUGAAGGUUGAGUCUUAAUGCAUGAGCUAAAAAGCCAUCUGUAUGCUUUUUUCUUUUUUGCUUUCUCAUUUUUAAUGUUACUGUCCCAGUGUUACUGAUUCUCUGCAGUCCAUGGUUGUAUGAAAAGGCUGGACAAGAAAGUAAAGAACUGGUAAUCCCCUCUGGGGAAAGGAAGAGGCAGUCAGUCACCUCAAGGUCAUACAAAGUACAAUGGGCCUAUGCAGAGGUGCACGUUGAACUGAUUUGUUUCAUUAAUCAGAACUCAUACUGUGUUUGCAAAGAAUAAUUGACAUUAGCAGAGCUGUGUUACUUGCAAAUGCAAUAUUAACCUUUCUGUUUAAUUGUGCUGAGAUUUAAACUCAGAAAAUAAGCCUUUGCUUAUCCAGUAACAACAGUGCCUCUUUUGUUAACAGAGCAAACUUUUUGCAGUGUUAUACUGGAAAAGUUUUGAUUUUUAGCAGUGAAAUAACUACCAAGUUCUUGUAACUGUGAUCUGGUGGUGGAUAAUAUCAUACACUGAAAUGGAUCUACAUUGUGAGGACCUCGGUGUGCACACUAAGCAGGGGGAACUGGAAAGAAAACGUCAAAUAUUAUCACAAUAUUUUCCCAAGAAAAUGUGCAUUUGUGAGGAGAAUAGGGAAGAUAAAUUAGAAGAAAGAGUGUUCAGGAUAGGGAAUCUGUAGUUUUCCAUAGGAAAGGCAUUAAACCUCUUUGAAAAUGGAAAGCAGAGAGAAAACAACAACAGCAACAACAACAAAACAGUUGAAGGCUUAUGUAUUUAAAGGAAGUUAUGGAUGAUUAGAUUUUUCUCUGAGAUAAAUGCAGAAGUCUUUGGUUGUGAACUGGUAUUUGCAUGUUGUAUCUGCUACUUAUCCUGCAGGUUUCUUACUACCAUUGCAGUCCCCAUGUAUCUGUAUUCAUGAGUGUGCAGGCUCUUAGAUGAGCUUUGUGCUUUGUUUGCUCAUUGUUUAGUGUAAUGCACUUUGACCAGUGAAGCAUCCAUAAAUACUGCUGCAAACCGUAUGUCUAUAAUAUCCUAGACUACUUUUUCAUCUUCCUGAUGCUGAGUAUUACUUGUCCUCUGGGAAAAUCCCACUGAAAUCAAUGGAUCUACAAAGGUGUUGCUCAGUUCAGGUAAGAUGGCAAAAACAUCUCCAGAAUUUCAUUAUUAAUUAAAGGCAUCUUGUACAGGAGAAGCAUCCAGCUUAUGACCUGUGUGAUUAUUCUAGAAUACCAGGGUGAUUAAUACCUCCAGCCCUGAUAGCUUACUUUCCAUAAUCUGACUAAAUGAAAAAUCUGACUUCAGUGAAAGUGAACAGCUGCCUCCAACCUCCAUCACCCUUCCAGGAAUUUCUUCCUUCACUGCUUAAGGGAUGUUCAGCCAGCCAUGCUGGGGUGAAGUGAGCCUGGGAAAGGUUCAGGCUGGAAGGAGACAAUGUUCCCCAUGUAGAUCUUGAGCAGCUUCAAAGAUGAUGGCUAAAAGAAAGAGCAUGGAUUGUUUAUGGCAGUCUUUUCCCUUCUUCUUGGGCAUCUUCUAAGUAAGGAGCUGUCUACCCUGCCAUUUAUGAAUGCAUGUGCUUGACUGGACUUUCUGACUAAGGCUGAUGACCUGGUGGGCAUCAGGAAGAACAUAGCAUGCAGGUGCAAGGGUUUCAUCAUGGGACAAGGGGAGGGCUGUGCCAUUGCCUUUUCCAUAUUCUCAGUGGAAUUAAGGGGCCUGUCUAAUAUUAAGCAGCUUGGUACUACCAUCCUACAGAAAUAGUUAUUUUGACAUAGUUCUUAGCCUCAGGAAUAAGGUUGAUGAGAGAUUGUUCUACUAGGACAGUUGGUCUCAAAUGAUGAGAUAGCAGUGACCCUUCUGCAAAGCACUGUAAAAACAGACACAGUCACAUUCUGACACACGUGUCUAUCUUCUUAGUCAAAGAGUUCCACAACAAAGGAAGCAUUCCACCUCCCACCUGUUUUUUUCUUUUCAUUUCUUCUGUCUCUUUGCCUCUUUUCAGCUGCCCAUCUCGCUGUAAUCCUCCAAUUAUGAAUUUUCAUGAAUAAAUGCACUCUUUGCAAAAGGUUGGUUUGACUG